GAUGAACGCUGGCGGCGUGCCUAAUACAUGCAAGUCGAACGAACGGACGCGACGCUUGCUGCUCUGAUGUUAGCGGCGGACGGGUGAGUCACACGUGUAUAACCUACCUAUAAGACUGGUAUAACUUCGGGAAACCGUAGCUAAUACCGGAUAAUAUUUUGAACCGCAUGGUUCAAAAGUGAGAGACGGUCUUGCUGUCACUUCUAGAUGGUUCUGGGCUGCAUUAGCUGGUUGGUAAGGUAACGGCCUACCAAGGCAACGAGGCCUAGCCGACCUGAGAGGGUGAUCGGCCACACGGGAAGUGAGACACGGUCCAGAGGCCUACGGGAGGCAGCAGUAGGGAAUCGGCCGCAAUGGGCGAAAGCCUGACGGAGCAACGCCGCGUGAGAGAUGAAGGCGUUCGGAUCGUAAAACUCUGUUAUUAGGGAUGAACCGAUGUGUAAGUAACUGUGCAGAUCUUGACGGUACCGAGUCAGAAAGCCCCGGCUAACUACGUG
RNAcentral lists this ribosomal RNA (497 nucleotides) under uncultured bacterium. RNAcentral describes it as "partial 16S ribosomal RNA". It matches the Rfam family "Bacterial small subunit ribosomal RNA", at positions 28 to 507 of the family's 1533-position model. The record is from RNAcentral.